Long non-coding RNA from Neogale vison (American mink), 1217 nucleotides. RefSeq lists it as uncharacterized. Lineage: Eukaryota; Metazoa; Chordata; Mammalia; Carnivora; Mustelidae. The transcript is spliced from 3 exons. The record is from RefSeq and is a predicted model, not a curated record.
UGACCUAUCGCCCACUUCCGAGCCCGGCCACUUCCCUGGAAAUCGGCUGAGUCGCGGCACCGACUCACCUCUAAGGAGGGAAUUGAGGGGCAGCCCAGGGCUGAACAGUUCUCCCUCUAGUAGAAGAGAAGCAUUGGGAGAGAAAGGACCUUGUCUGCUUAUUCAUCGCUGUAUUUCCAGCCCCUCAAAGAAGCAGCUGGCACCUUAGGAGGCAUGCUCAAAUCAGUGCCUGCUGUGUUGCUGGGAGUAAGCUCCGUGCUGGAUAUAACCCUUGCAAAGUCAAGGACAGAGCUCAGUUUGGCUCAAAUCUUGAUUUCAUCAUUGGAGAGCGACUGGGUCUGGACACAAUGAGAAAGGAGUGAAGAGCAGUUGCUGUGAGAAGAUUUUGGUUUAAAAAAUAAAGGUCAGGACUAUGCUCGUGUUCUGCGGAUGUGCUCAGUUCUGCUCUAAAUCGUCUGCAUCAACUAAUGUUAAAUAGAAUGUAUGAAGGAGUUAAAUGGGGCCUAUGAGGAGUGAAUGUUGCUGCUACAAAAUAUGGAGAUGGAAGCAGGGGUGAAAUAUAUUGCCAUCUAGGCAAAAUGAGCAAUCUGUUUGGAAGGAAUCAGUCUCUAGGGGUUAUACAUAACUACAAUUACUUUGCUAAGGAACGAAUGUUUUAUAUUUUGUGGCAACUUUGGGGGGAUACCACAUUUUUCUACAUGUGCCUGUUUUGGUUCCAUUUUCCACCUAAAAUUACACAUGUGAGGACAAUAAGUGAUUCUGUAAAGAAAGAGUGAGAUCAUCUUUAUCUCAAAGACCUUGGCUGAAGGUCAUGGUUAAUGACCAGACUUCUAACUUUGCCACUGACGUCCUGGCAGAAUUGUUUCUGAAACUUGGGCGAUGAGAUGACACUUUUUUAAGUUUUUUUAUACGCUUCAAAGAUCAACACAAUGCAGCCAUCUUAUAUGUAAACCAACUGUUGUAGUAUAUGCUUAGGCCUCGUUGACAUGGUUUUAAGAAAAGCAUUUCCCAUCCUCUGAAUCUAAAGCUUAAGCCAUCUUUAAGCAGAGACACCUUUCCUCUUCUGUUGAACCACUCCUGGUGUCAUCAAGCACAGUACAAGAACAGUACAAGGCAUGAAGAGGGAACUCAGUAAUGACAAGUGAGUAGAAAAAUUAAUUGAGGGACGCCUGGGUGGCUCAGUUGGUUAAGCAGCUGCCUUCGGCUCAGGUUAUGAU